GGAUGCCAGGGUCAAAAGGUCUAAACCCACAUGAGCUUGCUCAUAGGUGGGUGAAAGACCUUAGGACCCGCCCCGAUAUGAGCAUCAAAGUCGGGGGCUUUUGACCCCGACAUCU
The sequence is a small RNA, 115 nucleotides long. It matches the Rfam family "Clostridiales-1 RNA". The record is from Rfam.